Molecule: ribosomal RNA, 472 nt
Filed under: uncultured bacterium
Lineage: Bacteria
Description: bacterial SSU rRNA
Rfam family: Bacterial small subunit ribosomal RNA
Source: RNAcentral
UCGAGAAUCUUCCGCAAUGGGCGAAAGCCUGACGGAGCGACGCCGCGUGUAGGAUGAAGGCCCUCGGGUUGUAAACUACUGUCACGGGUUAUGAAUGUACAUAUGUAAACAGCGUGUGUAUUGACGUAAGCCCGAAAGGAGGCACCGGCUAACUCUGUGCCAGCAGCCGCGGUAAUACAGAGGGUGCAAACGUUGUUCGGAAUUACUGGGCAUAAAGCGCGCGUAGGCGGCGACGUAAGUGUAGGGUGAAAUCCCACGGCUCACCCGUGUGAAUUGCCCCGCAUACUGCGUUGCUCGAGUGUGGUAGGGGAGAGCGGAACUCCUGGUGGAGCGGUGAAAUGCGUAGAUAUCAGGAGGAACACCGGUGGCGUAGGCGGCUCUCUGGUCCAUAACUGACGCUGAAGUGCGAAAGCUAGGGUAGCGAACGGGAUUAGAUACCCCAGUAGUCCCUGAGCGGGCUGGCAAGGCGCAU